Molecule: unclassified non-coding RNA, 219 nt
Filed under: rhizosphere metagenome
Description: partial ribosomal RNA internal transcribed spacer region
Source: RNAcentral
GUAGGUGAACCUGCGGAAGGAUCAUUACUGAGUCCAUGCCCUAACGGGUAGAUCUCCCACCCUUGAAUAUAUAAACCUUUGUUGCUUUGGCGGGCCGCUUCGGCUACCGGCUUCGGCUGGUGAGUGCCCGCCAGAGGACCCCUAAACUCUUGAUUUUUGUGUUGUCUGAGUAAUAUAACAAAUAACUGAAAACUUUCAACAACGGAUCUCUUGGUUCUG